GCUGGCGGCAGGCCUAACACAUGCAAGUCGAGCGCCCCGCAAGGGGAGCGGCAGACGGGUGAGUAACACGUGGGAACGUACCCUUCGGUUCGGAAUAGCCCGGGGAAACUCGGAGUAAUACCGAAUACGUCCGUAAGGAGAAAGAUUUAUCGCCGAAGGAUCGGCCCGCGUCUGAUUAGCUUGUUGGUGAGGUAACGGCUCACCAAGGCUACGAUCAGUAGCUGGUCUGAGAGGAUGAUCAGCCACACUGGGACUGAGACACGGCCCAGACUCCUACGGGAGGCAGCAGUGGGGAAUAUUGGACAAUGGGCGAAAGCCUGAUCCAGCCAUGCCGCGUGAGUGAUGAAGGCCCUAGGGUUGUAAAGCUCUUUCGGCGGGGAAGAUAAUGACGGUACCCGCAGAAGAAGCCCCGGCCAACUUCGUGCCAGCAGCCGCGGUAAUACGAAGGGGGCUAGCGUUGCUCGGAAUCACUGGGCGUAAAGCGCACGUAGGCGGAUUGUUAAGUCGGGGGUGAAAUCCUGGAGCUCAACUCCAGAACUGCCUUCGAUACUGGCGAUCUUGAGUCCGGG
This 569-nucleotide ribosomal RNA is filed under the name uncultured soil bacterium. Its description in RNAcentral is "bacterial SSU rRNA". It matches the Rfam family "Bacterial small subunit ribosomal RNA", at positions 35 to 652 of the family's 1533-position model. The record is from RNAcentral.